Molecule: long non-coding RNA, 1892 nt
Organism: Equus caballus (horse)
Lineage: Eukaryota; Metazoa; Chordata; Mammalia; Perissodactyla; Equidae
Source: Ensembl
GAGCUCGCCCCCCGGUCCCGCUGGUGGUGGACGAGGAGGACGUGAGCUGGAGUCCCCUCCCCGCCCCCCCCCCCCCCCCCACCCCCCCGCCGCUCUCUCCCCGAUGGACAGGGCUGCGUCCGGAGCUCAGGGACAAAGCCCUCUUGGCAGGGGCUGCAGCUGGGCCCGUGAAACAGCCCUUUCAGCUCCGGCUCUGAAUGGCGGUUCUGUGGCCUCGUUGGAGGAACACAGGCGCCUUUUCUGUGUCACUUCCCCCUCACCAGCGGAGCUCCAGAAAUAUGCCACAGCUGACUUCAGGUGAAUCCUUCACUUGGCUGCUGUCCUGUCCCGUGUCUGUAAAGUCGGGAUCUCAACGCCAAUAUCACAGGAUGGAGGAGGAUGAGGUGUAUUGAAUGCUGCAUCCGUGUUUAUUGUUUCUCCAGCACCUUCUUGUAUCGGUCAGGACAGGAUAGGCCCUCCCCAAGGCUGCCUGCACGCUGCUGUCCUGCCAUUUCCAAGUCCUGGGUCAGCCACACAGUCAAGAGAGAGACAGCAUGUGUCUCUCCGAACAGCCUCAGACGAGGAGCACACGGCCGACUCUGCCUAGCAGCCCAGGGGGAGGAGCUGCACACUGACAGUGAGGAGGGCAGCAGGGGAUCAAGCAGCAGUGAGCCCCACAGAGGUGACCCUUUUAUUUAUGCAUUUUUUACUGGCUUUUAUCCCUUCCCUGUCUCACUUCCCCUCUUUCCCGGGACCUCUGUGUUUCCUGAGACCACCUCCCCAGAGAAACUUCCUGUGCAAGUCUCUGUCUCAGGGUCUAUUUUGGGGGCAACUUAGGCGAAGCUAAGGCAAAGCUUUCACAAGGGUGGGGGUCCAAGACCAGGACGUGUUUGGGGCCCUCCCGGGGGUCGGGGAGAGCAGGCCCCUGACAGGCAGGGCAGGUGAGGGCGAGGAAGGGAGGGUCCGAACAGGACCCCGGAGCCAGCUGGGAGCUGCGGGCUCUGAGCAGACGCCUCACCUUGAUGUGUUUGCAAGUUAUUCCUUAUUUUGUACUUCCUUCAGUUAUCUCUAAAUUGUCGACAAAGUUUGGUUUUAGGUUUUUCCAAAGAAAAAUGCAGAUUCCCAGGCUCCACCCCAGAGCUGGUGGAUCCGUGUUUCUAAGCUCUCUAGGUGGCUCUGAUGUAACUCAACCACCGGUCACAUCCAACCUUCCAGAAGCAGCACAAGUUCUCUCCUGUCUCGGGAAAGCUGCUGUCCAGCCUAUGGCAGAGCGCCUCUCGGACGGGGAGCCCUCUGACCCCCCGAGGGUUCCAUCUGGCUCUGAGAGCGAGCAGGUCUCCUGGUGAUCCGUGCUCAGCGACCGGAAGAUCGUGGUCACGCCCCCACUGAGUCCACUCUUCCCUUAUGAAAACAUCCUCGCUUCCUACAACCAUCCUUUAUGACACACGGGUUUCAGCCCCUUACCAGCCCGGUUCCAGCCCCCAGUGGCAUUUCGAUUUGUCUCCUUCCCUCUCAAAGAUCUGAGCCCUGAAUUUAAUAUAAUCCUCCAGCCAGCCUCCGAACUGAGCCUCUGGAGAGCUGAGAAGAGCAGAUGAAGAUGUGUCAACAGUGGUCAGCUCACCCGUUUCAUCCUUCAGCUUCAAAACUCUGGAGCCACACAGACCAGGUCUGCAGAUUUUCAGGAUUCUUGCUGCUGCUGCCGCUUAAAAGCUUAGGAGAGAAAAAUAAAAUUCCGCCAAAUUGGGAAGGAGUGGUGUAUUUGUUUCUGAUUGCUGUGUAACAAAUGACCACAAAUUUAGUGACCUAAAACAGCAUAGACGUCUGACCUCAGUUUCUGUCGAUCAGAAGUCUGAGCACAACUAAGCUGGGCUCUCUGCUCAGGGCCUCACAAGGCUGCAACCACCACGUCAGCC